Molecule: non-coding RNA, 170 nt
Filed under: Algoriphagus boritolerans DSM 17298 = JCM 18970
Lineage: Bacteria; Pseudomonadati; Bacteroidota; Cytophagia; Cytophagales; Cyclobacteriaceae
Source: RNAcentral
CCGAUAGCUAUCGGGAUGAAGGAAGUCGGCGGCAAAGGCGUGGCCUGACGAACAGAAACUGCAUGUAAGGCCAAAGGAGGCUGGAUAAGGUUGCAUCACAAACCGAAGUCCUAUACUGUCCGGAGCCUCCGGGGUAAAUGAAGCAGGUUGAUGGGAUGAAAGUUAUCGUU